AUGCCGAUACUGGCAGAAGGGUUGACCCGGAAGAUUGCCGAUCCCUUCGACUAUGGUGGCGGGAAUAUCAACCCUCAUGGUGCAGCCGACCCCGGCCUUGUUUAUGACAUCGAUCCCGGUGAUUACAGCAAAUUCUUCGGAUGCACAAUCAUCAGGAGGAUGAACGUGACCUGCAAUGCGACGGCACUGCCGGCUUACCACUUGAACCUGCCCUCCAUUGCUGUCCCCGAGUUGAGGCGUUCGGUAACCGUGUCCAGGACAGUGACGAACGUUGGAAAGGUCAAUUCUGUGUACCGCGUUGUUGUCCAGAGUCCAGCCGGCGUGAGGAUGGAGGUUGAGCCUUCGGUGCUCGUGUUUGAUGCGGCAAACAAAGUGCAGACAUUUAAGGUGAAGUUGUCGCCGAUGUGGAAGAUGCAGGGGGACUACAUGUUUGGCAGCAUUACUUGGCGUAGUGGCCGGAAGGCCGGGAGUGUCCCGGUUGCAGCUCGAAUAACGGUUCAGGAUUUCUAUGCAGAUGCUGCAUAA
This 525-nucleotide ribosomal RNA is filed under the name Triticum aestivum (bread wheat). RNAcentral's name for it is "partial small subunit ribosomal RNA". Lineage: Eukaryota; Viridiplantae; Streptophyta; Magnoliopsida; Poales; Poaceae. The record is from RNAcentral.